Molecule: ribosomal RNA, 253 nt
Filed under: uncultured bacterium
Lineage: Bacteria
Description: partial 16S ribosomal RNA
Rfam family: Bacterial small subunit ribosomal RNA
Source: RNAcentral
UACGAGGGGGGCGAGCGUUGUUCGGAUUUAUUGGGCGUAAAGAGCGUGUAGGCGGCCUGAAAGGUCAGCUGUGAAAACUCGAGGCUCAACCUCGAGACGUCGGUUGAAACCAUCUGGCUAGAGUCCGGAAGAGGAGAGUGGAAUUCCCGGUGUAGCGGUGAAAUGCGCAGAUAUCGGGAAGAACACCCGUGGCGAAGGCGGCUCUCUGGGACGGUACUGACGCUGAGACGCGAAAGCGUGGGGAGCGAACAGG